This is a long non-coding RNA of Glycine soja, 624 nucleotides long. RefSeq lists it as uncharacterized. Lineage: Eukaryota; Viridiplantae; Streptophyta; Magnoliopsida; Fabales; Fabaceae. The record is from RefSeq and is a predicted model, not a curated record. The transcript has 2 exons.
UUAUAGUUUUACUCUUGAGUGUAUUCGUUUGUUUCUCCACCGGCAUUUAUGGCCAUGGCAGCUCUAACCCCAAUUUGUUGUUCAACGCCCAGAUUCAGUGGUCAACAACUAAAAAAAAUUAUCAGUUUCCAAUUUCAUUACUCGGAAGCAAAAUAGAAGCAUCCGAAUCCGAUUACCCUAUCCGUGGAAGACGGCGUCGUUUCUCUCCGUUUCCAAAGAGCAUCCGAGACCUGCCCUAGCUCCACCACCACCAUGACCAUGAGAAGGAAAAAUUCGGAGACGCCGUUAAGGACAUACGCCAAGUACGAUACCCAACCGAGGGAGACAACGGUUGAGGUUGUGAAUUACGGAGGGAGCGUGUAAGUGGUGUCCGAAAUCAAAGCAACCAUCAAGGAGAAGUUUCCAGACAUUCUCAAUGUUAACUUCACCAUUUUUAUCCCUUUCUCUAUAAUUAUUCCUUCAAUAAAUAUCUAGACUUACUAUUAUUAUGAUCAGUUCUGAAUCAUCUGAUAUCAAUUUCCAGGGUUGGGUAAUUAUUGAUUGCUGAAAGUUUCAUUGGGAUGCCUUUGGGACACUUAGCAUCGUGUCCUCGCUUCAAUGAACCACUAAUGGCUUUAGCUUGUC